RNAcentral lists this small RNA (148 nucleotides) under Anaerosporobacter mobilis. RNAcentral's name for it is "Clostridiales-1 RNA". It matches the Rfam family "Clostridiales-1 RNA". The record is from RNAcentral. Lineage: Bacteria; Bacillati; Bacillota; Clostridia; Lachnospirales; Lachnospiraceae.
CCAGGGUCAAAAGGUCAUGUGUUUCAUGCUUGAAUGAAAAAACAUGACUUUAGGACUCGCAAAACAUGAGAAAGUAGCACGAAUAGGGCGGAUUUCGAAUGUUUUUAGGAUUACGAGAGCACGAAGUGCGUAGUAAUCCGUGGGUAUC